This 465-nucleotide ribosomal RNA is filed under the name uncultured bacterium. RNAcentral describes it as "partial 16S ribosomal RNA". It matches the Rfam family "Bacterial small subunit ribosomal RNA", at positions 28 to 507 of the family's 1533-position model. The record is from RNAcentral.
GACGAACGCUGGCGGCGUGCUUAACACAUGCAAGUCGAACGGAAAGGCCCUGCUUGCAGGGUACUCGAGUGGCGAACGGGUGAGUAACACGUGGGUGAUCUGCCCUGCACUUCGGGAUAAGCCUGGGAAACUGGGUCUAAUACCGGAUAGGAGCCAUUUUUAGUGUGAUGGUUGGAAAGUUUUUUCGGUGUAGGAUGAGCUCGCGGCCUAUCAGCUUGUUGGUGGGGUAAUGGCCUACCAAGGCGGCGACGGGUAGCCGGCCUGAGAGGGUGGACGGCCACAUUGGGACUGAGAUACGGCCCAGACUCCUACGGGAGGCAGCAGUGGGGAAUAUUGCACAAUGGGCGCAAGCCUGAUGCAGCGACGCCGCGUGGGGGAUGACGGCCUUCGGGUUGUAAACUCCUUUCGCUAGGGACGAAGCUUUUUGUGACGGUACCUAGAUAAGAGGCACCGGCUAACUACGUG